RNA transcript from Tachysurus fulvidraco (yellow catfish), 2032 nucleotides. RefSeq lists it as uncharacterized. The record is from RefSeq and is a predicted model, not a curated record. NCBI's taxonomy places the organism in Eukaryota, Metazoa, Chordata, Actinopteri, Siluriformes, Bagridae. The transcript is spliced from 8 exons.
GGAUGGAGCUGUUGGAAGCACUUCCGGUCCACCGGAUGGUGUAAACACGGGGAACUGAAACGUUAGCUGUUAAGUUGUACAGUUUUGGUGCUUUAAAGGAUGGAGCUAAGGCUCUCAAAUAGUUCUUAUAGUUGCUUCUUGUGGCUAUACAGCUUUGCUUUAUGCGCAAUCAUAGGUCUGCAUCCAGUUGCUUCUAUAGAAGUGUACACUCCCGCUGAGGUGUUUGUAGAAAAUGGAACUGCUGGAAUACUUAAAUGUACUUUCAAAUCAAAUCAAGUGAUCAGUAGCCAAGCAUCAGUUUCCUGGUCAUUCAUUCCAGAGAGCUCUUUGGAUUCUACUGGUGAAACUAUCUUCCACUAUGCUGGCGGGAAAGAAUUCCCAGACUUCCCUUAACCUCAACUGACUGUGCCUUAGUCUUCCUCACUCAACAUCACUGCCUGACCUCACUAAAGGCUGUAUUCUUGAGGCUGAAUUGAGGCUAGAGGCUGAAUUCUCCUGUGUCAAAAUUUAGUGGAAAUCCAUUCCAGGGGGAACUAAAAGCACAUGCAUGUGUGAUUGGCAGGGGUCAACAAACCUUUGGCCAAACAAUAUAUUAUAUCAUAUCCCCUAAUAUACUGAUGGACGGAUUGUAUUAUUGGAUCCUCCAGAAAGAACACAGUCUGUCACAGUUGAUGAAGAUGAUGACGAUGAAGAGACCACAUCUGCUGUGACAGAAGUGGACAAUGCUAGUAGAUCCACUGAGUACAUACCUAGGGAUUUUCCCACAGAUGAGGGUCCUUCAACCUCAGCACACAAUCUAAGCAGGUUGCCAGCAAAGGAGCUGUAUAAUGUCCAUCUUCAAAAACAAAUAAGAAAAAGUGACAUGGAGAUGGACCUUAUACAGCUUCAAAUGGAAGAGAAAAGGCUCCUCAUUAAAAAAGCAGCACUUGAAAUUAAAUUACUGGAGCAUCGCCUUAAGGUGUUCCUCUGGGCCAUCUUCCUCAAUACAAGGAGGGUGGCUCUCUCCUCUUAUAGUGGCAAUAUUGUGAAGCACAACACAAGCCACUAAAAUGUCGCAUGCUCUCUCUGGACUAACCCGGAGCUUACGAAGACACUGAAACCGAGAUUUGAGGAUCCCUAUAGUCAUCUCCACCUUGGCCCGUGUUCGGCUGUGAGCCAGGUUAAACCGUGUCUGUGGUCCAGGCUCAGAUUCAGGGUAGGGUGUCAUUAAAUAGGGCAGACAAGUGUAUCCUCUGUCCCCCAGCAAGUAACCAUUGUACUGUUCUGUAAUGACUGAAGUGUACAACACAAAUAGAAUGUAAAAAAAAACAAUUGUAUAAAGCAAAACAUACCCUGCUGAAAUGUCUGGCAUAAUGAUGACUCGAGGAAAAUUCUGGCAGCAUGCACAGAUCCUGGCCAUUUUGCCUCGACAUUGGUAAUGAUUUGGGUUGCCUCACAUAUUACCUAGUUAGUGGAAAAAGUAAUGAUUUUAAGAAGGGAAAAAAUUAAGUUGUUACCUGCACAAUGAUACUAUGAAUAGAUUUCCUAUUGACAUAGUCUCCCUCAUUUAUUGGUGGAGCUUUAAUAGGAAUGUGAAUGCCAUCAAUGCACCCAAUUACAUUUGGAAACCAUGAAACAGAAAGUUAUGGAAGUAUGAAGUGUGUGUGCGCAUAAUGAAUACAUGUAUAGAUAUAAAUAAUAUGACUAAAUAUUAAAUAUAUGCCACUCUGUGGAAUUCGUCUUUAAUAACAAGCAGAGGUUUAUGGCCAGGGAACCGCACAAACGUGGGUAAGAACUGUUUAAGUGCCAGACAUACUGUACGAACGGCUCUACACACAGUUGCCUUUCCCACAUGCUCUGAAUCGCCGACACUGUACAAAAAAUGGGCAGACGCAAAAAACCUAAGUGCUAAGCGCAGAACCGCGGUUUGUCAUAUUUGCGAUAUGCGGUUUUAAAAGACGUGUUAAAUAAACUAACGAAUCUUUUGAAAAACGAUAACGCUCUUUCAAAUAUUCAUUAGGGUAUGCAAACACAUCAGUACGCGGUCUUAUAA